CGUAGGUGGCAAGCGUUACUCGGAAUCACUAGGCGUAAAGCGCAGGUAGGCGGUUGGAUAAGUCUGUUGUGAAAGCUCCCGGCUUAACUGGGAGAGGCCAACGGAAACUAUUCGGCUGGAGUGUGGUAGAGGUAGCUGGAAUUCCCGGUGUAGCGGUGAAAUGCGUAGAUAUCGGGAGGAAUACCUAUGGCGAAAGCAGGCUACUGGACCAUCACUGACGCUGAUCUGCGAAAGCUAGGGGAGCAAACAGGAUUAGAUACCCUGGUAGUCCUAGCCCUAAACGAUGCUCAUUAGGUGUGGGAGGUAUCGACCCCUUCCGCGCCGUAGCUAACGCAUUAAAUGAGCCGCCUGGGGAGUACGGCCGCAAGGUUG
This 372-nucleotide ribosomal RNA is filed under the name uncultured organism. Its description in RNAcentral is "bacterial SSU rRNA". It matches the Rfam family "Bacterial small subunit ribosomal RNA", at positions 526 to 896 of the family's 1533-position model. The record is from RNAcentral.